This 23-nucleotide microRNA is filed under the name Caenorhabditis briggsae. RNAcentral's name for it is "cbr-miR-54a-3p". Its record names the gene cbr-miR-54a-3p. The record is from miRBase by way of RNAcentral. Lineage: Eukaryota; Metazoa; Nematoda; Chromadorea; Rhabditida; Rhabditidae.
UACCCGUAUUCUCAUAUCUGAGC